AACCAGCAAAACCGAAGCUAUUGGAAAACUUUCCUGUGUGCCAAAGCGAGAGAGCAUGUCUUCUUUCUCUAGAUUUUGGACGGCACAACGCCGAUCGUGUGGCCUAUGAACGAAAAACGGGAGAAGGGGAAACCGAUAUCCUUCGAGUAACACACACGCAUGCAUCUGCAUGCGUAUUCCGCUGAACCGAGACUACACAUCUCUCUCGAUCGCCCAUGAUUUUUCUGCUAUCGCGCUCAUCCGGGUGUUAGGCAUCCUCAGUCUGUCCAGAACUUUCACUGUGGAAGUAUGUUGGAGUGAUGUGUGAUUUCUUGUGCCCCGUACUUUGCUCGUUUACGUUUUGUGCCGUGUUCCUUCUUCUUCAAUUAUGGAAUGAUUUAUCCUUGUAAAUUUCUAAGUUACAGGUGCACGCGCAUGUUAAUCGACGGUUGCCGACGGAAGGACGGUGUCCGGUUUUAAAAUAUCAAGAUAUCAUCACAGCUCUUUCGUAGAAGAGCGCACUUCAAGGACGCAUAGGAUACGGCUAAACAUGCGCAGCACCAGUCCGUGACGUCAUUUCCAGACAGGCGCCGGCUGAACACGCGCAGCACCAGUCGAGG
Anopheles gambiae (African malaria mosquito) is the source of this 599-nucleotide long non-coding RNA. RefSeq lists it as uncharacterized. The record is from RefSeq and is a predicted model, not a curated record. NCBI's taxonomy places the organism in Eukaryota, Metazoa, Arthropoda, Insecta, Diptera, Culicidae. The transcript is spliced from 3 exons.